CUGGCCCGACCCGCCCUCGCUCGGGGACUACAAGCCGUGCGCGCGCACCCACGCACGUAGCGACGCGUACGUCCACCUGUCCCCCUCACAGGGCGCCUAGGAGAGGCCUCUUCGUGGCCCAUCCGCGCCGCGCAGGCGCACGCCCACGCAGCGCCUAGACGCCGGACCCGAGCGUCCCGUCUCCUAGUAACCAGCGCGCGGCCCCUUUCUCGCGACUUCCUCAGGGCUGGCGCACCUGGAUAGAACGCGCAUGCGCACGGCUGUCUUCCCCCUCUCCCCACGUCUUACUCAACACCUGCUUCUUUUGCGGCCAUGGCUCUUCGCUUUUUCCUAGGGAUCCGAAGUCAUUCUGGACCCACGUUUAUUAGAACAGCUGCUCUUGGGCACAGCUUCUGCUACAGCCAGGAGCCCCCUUUGAGCGCUACUCCCUGGUGCUGCGGUCCUCCAGCUCCAGACUCCUGAGAGUGACCCUCCUGUACCGGUGAGCGCCUGCAGCCUCCUGUCUGGGGAGCCCGUGGAGCCAAGGCCCGGGUCAGCCUUGCACACUCGUGUCAGGCUGGAGGCGGGAGGUGACAGUAAAAACCCAGGUUGCACGAGUCCGUCCCCUUCCAAGUCCUCUUUCCAGAAAAACUGGCGAUGGCUAACAAAGAAAAGUAAUCAAAUUGAAGAAACAUUUCUACUACUUAAAAAAGGUAUCUUCAAACUGCC
This is a long non-coding RNA of Chinchilla lanigera (long-tailed chinchilla), 708 nucleotides long. RefSeq lists it as uncharacterized. NCBI's taxonomy places the organism in Eukaryota, Metazoa, Chordata, Mammalia, Rodentia, Chinchillidae. The record is from RefSeq and is a predicted model, not a curated record. The transcript has 2 exons.